UUUUCUUUUUCCUUUUUUAGUUUCAAAAUCAUUCCCUUUUUUUCAAACACCGACCCUUGGGUUUCUUAGCCUCCAGUGCACCGCCGCCGCAGCCAUGAAGACCGGUGGCCGACGACGGAGGAAAAGAGGUGAAAGACCUCGGCCUUAGAAUACCCCGAGGGCUGAACCCUUCAACCUUAAACAAGAAAAAAGGAAGAUUCUCAGCACCCUCUAGAUCCGGCGGUCGCAAAGGAGGAGAACCCUCCGUGAGCCGGAUCCCGGCGCUUCCUCGGUAAGUCCCCUCUCCCCUUUUUAUUUUCACGUUUUCUUUGUAAAAAUUUCGUAAAAAAAAUGCGUAGAUAAAUAAAUGAAAUAAAUAAAUGAUAGAUGAUAAGAAACGGAAAUCAGAAAAACUAAAGAAAACAAUCAGAUUUCUAUCAACCUUUUAGAAUCUCAGUUCUGUAUUUCUUGAUUCACUGAUGUGUGUUCGUAAAAAAAAACAACGGUGAGAUUCGGGCUUUUAUAGCCGAAUCAAAAUGAGUUUUUCUUCUUUAUUAUCUGUUAACUAUUAUUAUUGCUCGCGUGCUUCCUUUUUGCCAUUAUAUUUAAUUUUCGCAGGUGUCAGACGCGUGGACGACCGGUGGUAGGCGAGCCUUGGGCGGUGGCGGCGUGUGAGGAGCUGGAGCGGCGUACCUGGCAGAGGUGUGCAUGCGGCUAGGGCUAGGUUUUUUUUUGCUGAAACAAAUUUUAAUUUACUGGGCUUUGGGCUGUAAUUUUUGGGUUAUUUUCAUUUGUUUUGGGUCUUUAGGCCUAGGUCAAAAUUGACCUGUUACAAUUGUCAUAGUGUUUCAUGUGUACUUAAUUACUCACAUUUUGUAUAUAUAAUGUAUACGUAAAAAAUAUUAAAAUUAUUAGAAUUUAAAAGAAUGAAUAUUUGAAAAAAUAUAUAAUUU
Molecule: long non-coding RNA, 932 nt
Filed under: Gossypium barbadense (sea-island cotton)
Lineage: Eukaryota; Viridiplantae; Streptophyta; Magnoliopsida; Malvales; Malvaceae
Description: long non-coding RNA (GBAR_LNC013710)
Source: RNAcentral